RNAcentral lists this microRNA precursor (63 nucleotides) under Eptatretus burgeri (inshore hagfish). RNAcentral's name for it is "Ebu-Mir-17-P3e_pre stem-loop". The record is from RNAcentral. Lineage: Eukaryota; Metazoa; Chordata; Myxini; Myxiniformes; Myxinidae.
GAAAGUGCACAUAGUGAUAGAUAGCCCAUCGUUCCUGCUAGCUACACUAUUUACACUUUUAAC